RNAcentral lists this unclassified non-coding RNA (218 nucleotides) under plant metagenome. RNAcentral's name for it is "partial contains small subunit ribosomal RNA and internal transcribed spacer 1". The stretch from base 1 to 46 matches the Rfam family "Eukaryotic small subunit ribosomal RNA", at positions 1786 to 1831 of the family's 1831-position model. The record is from RNAcentral.
AAGUCGUAGCAAGGUUUCCGUAGGUGAACCUGCGGAAGGAUCAUUACAGAGUUCGUGCCCCUCGUGGGUAGACCUCCCACCCUUGUGUAUUCUAAUUAAUCGUUGCUUUGGCGGGCCGCGAGCACGUCUCGCCCGGGAGCUCCUCCCGGUUGUGCCCGCCAGAGGACCCCCAAACUCUGAAUGUUAGUGUCGUCUGAGUUCUUAUACAAUCGUUAAAA